RNAcentral lists this small nuclear RNA (107 nucleotides) under Tupaia belangeri chinensis (Chinese tree shrew). Lineage: Eukaryota; Metazoa; Chordata; Mammalia; Scandentia; Tupaiidae. The record is from RNAcentral.
GUGCUCGCUUCGGCUGCCCAUAUACUAAAAUUGGAAUGAUACAGAGAAGACUAGCAUGGCCCCUGUGCAAGGAUGACACACAAAUUCGUGAACCGUUCCAUAUUUUU